This 408-nucleotide ribosomal RNA is filed under the name uncultured bacterium. RNAcentral's name for it is "partial 16S ribosomal RNA". It matches the Rfam family "Bacterial small subunit ribosomal RNA", at positions 28 to 526 of the family's 1533-position model. The record is from RNAcentral.
GACGAACGCUGGCGGCGUGCUUAACACAUGCAAGUCGAACGAAGUGGCGAACGGGUGAGUAAUACGUGGGUAACUUGCCCUCAUUUUUGGGAUAAGCCUUGGAACCGUGGUCUAAUACCGAAUAAAGGGGGAUGGGCUCGGGGUUUCUCAUCGUGGUGGUGGGGUGAUGGCGUACCGAGGCGGCGACGGGUAGCCGGACUGAGAGGGGGAACGGGCACUGUGAGACGGCGAUACGGCCCAGACGCGUACGGGGGGCAGCAGUGGGGGAUAUUGCACAAUGGGUGAAGGCCUGAUGCCGCGAGUCCGAGUGGGGGAUGAAGGCUUUAGAGUUGUUAACGUCGUGCGCAAUCGGACGGGUAGGUGGAGAAGAAGCGCCGGCUAACUACGUGCCAGCAGCCGCGGUAAUAC